This 440-nucleotide ribosomal RNA is filed under the name uncultured bacterium. RNAcentral's name for it is "partial 16S ribosomal RNA". It matches the Rfam family "Bacterial small subunit ribosomal RNA", at positions 338 to 795 of the family's 1533-position model. The record is from RNAcentral.
CCUACGGGUGGCUGCAGUGGGGAAUAUUGCGCAAUGGGCGAAAGCCUGACGCAGCGACGCCGCGUGGAGGAUGAAGGUUUUCGGAUUGUACACUCCUUUUGUUAGGAAAGACAAUGACGGUAUCUAACGAAUAAGCACCGGCUAACUCCGUGCCAGCAGCCGCGGUACUACGGAGGGUGCAAGCGUUACUCGGAAUAACUGGGCGUAAAGAGCACGUAGGCGGGAUAGCAAGUCAGAUGUGAAAUCCUAUGGCUUAACCAUAGAACUGCAUUUGAAACUGUUAUUCUAGAGUAUGGGAGAGGUAGGUGGAAUUCUUGGUGUAGGGGUAAAAUCCGUAGAGAUCAAGAGGAAUACUCAUUGCGAAGGCGACCUGCUAGAACAUAACUGACGCUGAUGCGCGAAAGCGUGGGGAGCAAACAGGAUUAGAUACCCUUGUAGUC